GUUGACAGUUGAAAAAUAUUAAAUUAGAUAGAACUUACAACUAGGAACAUUCCUGCAGUUGUGUGGACUAAGUCAGAGCACCCGCCAUGAGGCCCCAACCUUGCUGUAGGCCUGAGAGUUAAUGAGUUUUAAGCCUCUCACCUGGCCAGUGAGAGGUCCUUGGGAUAGAGAGAAGAGAACCAAUGCUCACUAAAGCACAAAUGAUGUGUAAAACCCCAUCGUGCAUCACUCCCACCAGAAAGUCUGAUGCCCCAGCAUCUAAACAAUUCUGAGCUAUCAAACAUUUGGAGGAGGAAUGGACAGUGGGUGGCGCAGGUAAACAGGAAGGACCUGCUUCCUCUAUCCCUGCUGGCUGCUGACAGGCUGAAAGCCCCAUCUUCCUGCGCUCUCCAGAGAACAGAAGACUUCCAUCAGAUUAGCACAACUGGAAAGCAAAAGUGACUUACUCCUUCUUGUCUACAUCCUAGACACAACCUUCCUUCCUUCACCAGAGCUCCUAGUUAUCCCUUCCCGUGGUGUGGGGAGACGAGCCUUGCCUGCAGCAUUGAGGGCAGGAUGCCCUUUUCUGGGGAAAUGGUCAGUAGAUUAUCUAGCUCUCAACUUUGCCCUUUGGUAUAAAUUCUCCCUUAUUAGUAAGUAGGAGGGUAUUGUGGCUAACCAGCACCUUCUCCCCUUUCACUCUCGCCUGUUCACAGCUUGUGCAGGAGGAUCAGAGAC
Molecule: non-coding RNA, 717 nt
Organism: Rattus norvegicus (Norway rat)
Lineage: Eukaryota; Metazoa; Chordata; Mammalia; Rodentia; Muridae
Source: RefSeq, a predicted model, not a curated record